GACGAACGCUGGCGGCGUGCCUAAUACAUGCAAGUCGAACGGGGUUGUCGGAGUGCUUGCUUUUUUGUGACCUCCGGGCACAUAGCUGAGUACGGGUGGGAUACCCUGGCUGUACCAGCCCUAUAACCCGGGAUAACCGGUGCUAAUUGGGGAUGUGCUGUAAUAGGUUCCUACCAUUUACUCGUUUUGGAAAUAAAGGUGCUUACUUAUGGAUGGGCCCCCCUCUCAUUAGCUGGUGGGUGAAGUAACGGCUCACGCGACGAUGGAUGGCCGGCGGCCUGAGUGGGUGGACACCCUGGGACUGACUGACACACCACACUCACUCCUACGGCAGGCAUGGGGAAUAUAUAUUGCUGAAUGGAAGCCUGACUGACCCACCCACCGUGCGUGAAUGAUGACUGCCUUCCGGUUGUCCCUGUUUGUCCUUGCGAAAGAAGGAACUGACCCCUGUGAGGAAGGAACCCCCGGCUACCUG
This 475-nucleotide ribosomal RNA is filed under the name uncultured bacterium. RNAcentral's name for it is "bacterial SSU rRNA". It matches the Rfam family "Bacterial small subunit ribosomal RNA", at positions 28 to 503 of the family's 1533-position model. The record is from RNAcentral.